Molecule: ribosomal RNA, 253 nt
Filed under: uncultured bacterium
Lineage: Bacteria
Description: partial 16S ribosomal RNA
Rfam family: Bacterial small subunit ribosomal RNA
Source: RNAcentral
UACAGAGGGUGCGAGCGUUAAUCGGAAUUACUGGGCGUAAAGGGCGCGUAGGCGGUAUUAAAAGUGUUAUGUGAAAGCCCCGGGCUUAACCUGGGAAGAGCAUAGCGGACUGUAGUACUGGAGUACAAGAGAGGGUAGCGGAAUUUCCGGUGUAGCGGUGAAAUGCGUAGAUAUCGGAAGGAACGUCAAUGGCGAAGGCAGCUACCUGGCUUGAUACUGACGCUGAGGCGCGAAAGCGUGGGGAGCGAACAGG